AUUAUUCCAAUUAAGAUCACUAUUCGAAGUUGGAAUCGCUACCUGCUCACUCGUCCCCAUUAAAUGCAAUGGACAUCAUAAUGGUCUAGGUAAU
RNAcentral lists this small RNA (94 nucleotides) under Salix viminalis (osier). The record is from RNAcentral. Lineage: Eukaryota; Viridiplantae; Streptophyta; Magnoliopsida; Malpighiales; Salicaceae.